CGGCGGACGGGUGAGUAACGCGUGGGUAACCUGCCUCGUACAGGGGGAUAACAGUUGGAAACAGCUGCUAAUACCGCAUAAGCGCACAGUACCGCAUGGUACGGUGUGAAAAACUCCGGUGGUAUGAGAUGGACCCGCGUCUGAUUAGGUAGUUGGUGGGGUAACGGCCUACCAAGCCGACGAUCAGUAGCCGACCUGAGAGGGUGACCGGCCACAUUGGGACUGAGACACGGCCCAA
RNAcentral lists this ribosomal RNA (238 nucleotides) under uncultured bacterium. Its description in RNAcentral is "partial 16S ribosomal RNA". It matches the Rfam family "Bacterial small subunit ribosomal RNA", at positions 96 to 334 of the family's 1533-position model. The record is from RNAcentral.